Molecule: ribosomal RNA, 465 nt
Filed under: uncultured Streptococcus sp.
Lineage: Bacteria; Bacillati; Bacillota; Bacilli; Lactobacillales; Streptococcaceae
Description: bacterial SSU rRNA
Rfam family: Bacterial small subunit ribosomal RNA
Source: RNAcentral
CCUACGGGUGGCAGCAGUAGGGAAUCUUCGGCAAUGGACGAAAGUCUGACCGAGCAACGCCGCGUGAGUGAAGAAGGUCUUCGGAUCGUAAAGCUCUGUUGUAAGAGAAGAACGAGUGUGGGUGUGUAAAGUUCACACCGUGACGUUAACUUACCAGAAAGGGACGGCUAACUAGGUGCCAGCAGCCGCGGUAAUACGUAGGUCCCGAGCGUUAUCCGGAUUUAUUGGGCGUAAAGCGAGCGCAGGCGGUUAGAUAAGUCUGAAGUUAAAGGCUGUGGCUUAACCAUAGUACGCUUUGGAAACUGUUUAACUUGAGUACAAGAGGGGAGAGUGGAAUUCCAUGUGUAGCGGUGAAAUGCGUAGAUAUAUGGAGGAACACCGGUGGCGAAAGCGGCUCUCUGGCUUGUAACUGACGCUGAGGCUCGAAAGCGUGGGGAGCAAACAGGAUUAGAUACCCUAGUAGUC